GACGAACGCUGGCGGCGUGCCUAAUACAUGCAAGUAGAACGCUGAAGGAGGAGCUUGCUUCUCUGGAUGAGUUGCGAACGGGUGAGUAACGCGUAGGUAACCUGCCUGGUAGCGGGGGAUAACUAUUGGAAACGAUAGCUAAUACCGCAUAAGAGUAGAUGUUGCAUGACAUUUGCUUAAAAGGUGCAAUUGCAUCACUACCAGAUGGACCUGCGUUGUAUUAGCUAGUUGGUGGGGUAACGGCUCACCAAGGCGACGAUACAUAGCCGACCUGAGAGGGGGAUCGGCCAAACUGGGACUGAGACAAGGCCCAGAAUCCUAAGGGAGGCAGCAGUAGGGAAUCUUCGGCAAUGGACGGAAGUCUGACCGAGCAAAGCCGCGUGAGUGAAGAAGGUUUUCGGAUCGUAAAGAUCUGUUGUAAGAGAAGAACGAGUGUGAGAGUGGAAAGUUCACACUGUGACGGUAUCUUACCAGAAAGGGACGGCUAACUACGUG
This 495-nucleotide ribosomal RNA is filed under the name uncultured bacterium. Its description in RNAcentral is "partial 16S ribosomal RNA". It matches the Rfam family "Bacterial small subunit ribosomal RNA", at positions 28 to 507 of the family's 1533-position model. The record is from RNAcentral.